AAAAUUUUAGUUUAAUUUAAAAUUUUUUAAUUACAAUAAAAAGAUUAUUAUAUAUAUUUAAAAUUUUA
RNAcentral lists this transfer RNA (68 nucleotides) under Nomia chalybeata. RNAcentral describes it as "tRNA-Val". Lineage: Eukaryota; Metazoa; Arthropoda; Insecta; Hymenoptera; Halictidae. The record is from RNAcentral.